GUCAGGUAUUUUUAUUACUAAAUAGUUUAUAUGAAUGGAAACAGAAUUACUACAAUUAAUUAUCUUGAAUCGCAAUAUCUUCGCACUGAUAUUAUAAGUUACAGAGUGUGUAAUAAUACAAUACAAAUAGGGUUUUAAAUUUAAUAAGGGUAAAAGCGACGCUCAAACCCCAUAUGGAAUUUACUCACCCAUAUAUAAUUUGUAUUGGGUCACUAGUAUACUUGGCAACGAAUUUAUCUUACCGGCUACCUUAACAUGUGCUAUCUAGACUAAUGGACUAUCAAAGUGACCAGGUCUCCAAUAUAAAGAGCGAACUUCCAUUGAUCUAUACAAAAAAUAGUGCUAAUAACAACAAAUUUUUACUUUAAAUUUGUUUUCUGCAUUUAUUUCAUCAAUUUCUUCACCUGUUUAACGGGCAUAACAUUUCCAUUUUUUUUUAUUAAAAGGGACUUAACUUCACUAAUGCCUCUGCAUUGAAAUAAACCAAGCAUACUAACCACAUAUAAAAUAUACACGGUCUCCAGGCAAUCGUAUUCAAUCAAUCAUAUUUCUAGAAAUGUAUAAUCGGCAAAAAAAAAAUGUGAACAAGAUAAAGAUAUGAAAACUAAAUCUACAGUAAGUAAAUAACCUUUUGUACUUGAAUUUAUUCUAUUCUGAGUCAAAGAUUAUAGAUCAAGGAAGAUGUGGAAUGAGUGUCAAUGAGAAAACCCUCCAUCCAAGUAAAAGUAAACCAUUAUGCUCAGUGUCCUCAAUGCUCUUCAAUUUCGUACUUUAUUUGGCCUUUUAAACAUUUUUUUAUUCGAGCGUCACUGAUGAGUCUUUUGUAGACGAAACGCACGUCUGGCGGUGUAAAUCCUGGUAUCUAUGAUGAUAAAAUUGAGAAAAGAAAUGGGGAAUGUGUCAGAGCGACAACAACCCGACAAUAGAGCAAACAACAGCCGAAGGCCACCAAUGGUUCUUCAAUGUAGCUAGACACUCCAGCACCCGGAGGCGGUCUUCAGCUGGCCCCUUUAUGUAUGCUAAUUUAUUUAUAUAGGUCAUAGAACGGUCUUCAACACAGAGCCUUGGCUAACAAAGAACAGCAAAUUAUAAAGGGCCUCACAAAUGACUAGUGUAAAGCAUUUCAAACAGGAAAACCAACGGUGUAACCUUUAUAAAAAGAAAAAGAAAUACUUAUGAACCACAUCAACAAACGACAACCGUUGAACACCUGGUUCCUGAUUUAGGACAGGUGCAAAAUGCAACGGUUUUAUUCGUUUAAAUUGGUACCAACCGUCACCCUUUCAGGAAACAAUAGUGUAACAUUACAAUAUAAAAUAUAUCAAA
RNAcentral lists this long non-coding RNA (1326 nucleotides) under Mytilus galloprovincialis (Mediterranean mussel). Lineage: Eukaryota; Metazoa; Mollusca; Bivalvia; Mytilida; Mytilidae. The record is from RNAcentral.